Small nucleolar RNA from Gorilla gorilla gorilla (western lowland gorilla), 136 nucleotides. Ensembl annotates it as small nucleolar RNA, H/ACA box 17B. Its record names the gene SNORA17B. The record is from Ensembl. Lineage: Eukaryota; Metazoa; Chordata; Mammalia; Primates; Hominidae.
GCUGUCCUGGACCUGUCGGCACCACAGACAGUUGCUCUGCUGUGCCUGUGGCCUCGGGGCAAAGAGAAAGUGGCGAUUUCUACACUCAGUGCUCGGGAACCAGUGGGCACUGAGAAUGGUUUAUGGCCUCACAUUA